GGCCCAGUAGCUCAGUGGUAGAGCAGUCGACUCAUAAUCGAUUGGUCGCUGGAUCGUUCCCAGCCUGGGCCA
Molecule: transfer RNA, 72 nt
Filed under: Providencia phage PSTCR6
Lineage: Duplodnaviria; Heunggongvirae; Uroviricota; Caudoviricetes; Pantevenvirales; Straboviridae
Rfam family: tRNA
About the family: Transfer RNA (tRNA) molecules are approximately 80 nucleotides in length.
Source: Rfam by way of RNAcentral